This 401-nucleotide ribosomal RNA is filed under the name uncultured Eubacteriales bacterium. Its description in RNAcentral is "uncultured Clostridiales bacterium partial 16S ribosomal RNA". It matches the Rfam family "Bacterial small subunit ribosomal RNA", at positions 355 to 774 of the family's 1533-position model. Lineage: Bacteria; Bacillati; Bacillota; Clostridia; Eubacteriales. The record is from RNAcentral.
UGGGGAAUAUUGCACAAUGGGCGAAAGCCUGAUGCAGCAACGCCGCGUGAGCGAUGAAGGUCUUCGGAUCGUAAAGCUCUGUCCUCAAGGAAGAUAAUGACGGUACUUGAGGAGGAAGCCCCGGCUAACUACGUGCCAGCAGCCGCGGUAAUACGUAGGGGGCUAGCGUUAUCCGGAAUUACUGGGCGUAAAGGGUGCGUAGGUGGUUUUUCAAGCCAGAAGUGAAAGGCUACGGCUCAACCGUAGUAAGCUUUUGGAACUGUAAGACUUGAGUGCAGGAGAGGAGAGUGGAAUUCCUAGUGUAGCGGUGAAAUGCGUAGAUAUUAGGAGGAACACCAGUUGCGAAGGCGGCUCUCUGGACUGUAACUGACACUGAGGCACGAAAGCGUGGGGAGCAAACA